UCUCUGGUGGCUCAGACGGUAAAGUGUCUGCCUGCAAUGCAGGAGACCCAGGUUUGAUUCCUGGGUGGGGAA
Molecule: transfer RNA, 72 nt
Filed under: Ovis aries (sheep)
Lineage: Eukaryota; Metazoa; Chordata; Mammalia; Artiodactyla; Bovidae
Rfam family: tRNA
About the family: Transfer RNA (tRNA) molecules are approximately 80 nucleotides in length. Their secondary structure includes four short double-helical elements and three loops (D, anti-codon, and T loops).
Source: Rfam by way of RNAcentral